UCUUUAUUAAGCAACUUUUUUAUGUUUAGAACUCUUUAUGGCUGAAUCUGGUUAGGCACAUUUUCAGUUCAGUUUUGCCGUAUAGUUAUCUUCUGAUGGCUGCAUGCAGCUUUUCACCCUUCAGUAAGGAGUCCUUUAUUUGUUGUAGAUCCUUGUCACCCAUGAGUGAUGGACGCUGUAUGGUUAUGCAGUGCUGCUGGUGUGAAGUUUGCAGAUAUUCAGUUAUAAAAUAUUUGUGGUUCAUCAGUUCCUUUUGUGCAUGUUGUCAAGAAUGUGUCAUAUGAGCCAAGAUUCAAACGCUUCUGGAUGUGAAUUUGACAAAACGGAUCAUCUUAGUAGGAUGAGUGUCCUGAAGAAUCGGAAGAUGCUGCAAAACAUGAUGAUGUGAUACUGCCAUGCUAUUUCUACUGGUCUCUCUGCUAGUGCCUUAUCGCUCGUUCACCAAUCUCCAUCCUCACCAUGGUCUCUGUACUCAACAAGGGUGAACUCUACAAGUUCUAGUAGGCUCCUCGGUGACUCCUCACAGGAGAGCUUUUGGCCUGAUCUGAUGGAGCUGAGAGGUCAAAGGAAGAAGUCAAACCUGAAGAAGUGCAGGGAGGAAAUUACAGCUGCGUGUGUCCGGCUGGUUCAGGGGAUGUGCAGGGCGGCCGUAGCCAUGCGGGUGUCGAGGCAGGCGAUCUCGCGGAUGGAUGCCAUGCUGCGAGGGUAGGUUCCUGGGCGCCCGCUACGUUGAUGACGGAUUCCACGCUGCGAGCGGCAACAAUCGGCGACAAUCGGCGAUGGCGAUCGUGCAGGGAGGCGACGGUGUUGGCGGGCGGCAUCUGGUGCGGUGGUGACUCAAGGCAGACAAACGUCGAGGUCAAGGGCGAGGGAGCAGAUUUGAUUGAGUUCCCUUAGUUUGCGAUUUGAUUGCGUGAUUGUAGGGAAACACGGGAGGGAG
This is a long non-coding RNA of Triticum dicoccoides, 940 nucleotides long. RefSeq lists it as uncharacterized. The record is from RefSeq and is a predicted model, not a curated record. NCBI's taxonomy places the organism in Eukaryota, Viridiplantae, Streptophyta, Magnoliopsida, Poales, Poaceae. The transcript is spliced from 4 exons.